Molecule: ribosomal RNA, 276 nt
Filed under: uncultured bacterium
Lineage: Bacteria
Description: partial 16S ribosomal RNA
Rfam family: Bacterial small subunit ribosomal RNA
Source: RNAcentral
AACGAACGCUGGCGGCAGGCCUAACACAUGCAAGUCGAACGAACCUUCGGGUGAGUGGCGCACGGGUGCGUAACGCGUGGGAAUACGCCCAUAGGUAAGGAAUAACUGCUGGAAACGGUAGCUAAUACCUUAUAAUAUCUUCGGAUCAAAGAUUCAUCGCCUAUGGAUUAGCCCGCGUUAGAUUAGAUAGUUGGUGAGGUAACGGCUCACCAAGUCGACGAUCUAUAGGGGGUCUGAGAGGAUGAUCCCCCACACUGGUACUGAGACACGGACCAG